Homo sapiens (human) is the source of this 5492-nucleotide long non-coding RNA. RefSeq annotates it as TSPAN11 antisense RNA 1. NCBI's taxonomy places the organism in Eukaryota, Metazoa, Chordata, Mammalia, Primates, Hominidae. The record is from RefSeq and is a predicted model, not a curated record. The transcript has 2 exons.
AUCUGCCAGGUGGAGAGAGCAGAGGAGCAAAGAGAAAUCAGAACUCCUGGAAGCUGCCGGCCCUCAGGGCCCUGGAGCAGUGCUGCUCACUCGAAUACCCUGGGGCCUGGGCAAAGGGCAGAUUCCUGCUCAAAACUGCUCAAAAUGUCAGGGUGGGACCUGAGGUUCUGCAUUUCUGACAAGCUCCCAGGUGAUGGUGGUGUGCCUGGGGGAACCACAUUCUGCCAUCUACUAUCCAAGAGCAGGGCUUUGCACACUUUAAUGGGCAUGAAUCAUCUGGGGACCUCCUUAUUACAAUUCUUCAGGCCUAGUGGCGGCCUGAGAGUCUGCAUUCCUAGCAAGCUCCCAGUUGAUGCUGCUGGUCUGUGGUCCUAGAUCUUCUCCAGAGAUGGCCUGAUUUAAUUAGGCCCUAAGAGUAAUGUUUCCACUCCCUCAUCAGAGCUGUCUGAAGUGGACUGUCUCUCUAGGAAAGAGUCUGCCUGUGUUUUGCUGUCCUUAGACUCUAGAGCAAAACUCAGGUCCAUCUUCGAUGCUCUGGCUGGUGUACAGGAGCCAUGGGGGAAACUGAGACUCUGGGAAGAGCCUCCUGAGCUGUCACCCUGUCAGUCAGCAUAGAAUAAGAGCUGGUGAGCUCACCCUGUCAAUCAGUGUAGAAUGCAGCACCAAGCUCAGGCCCCAGGCGUCCUGUCUGCCAGCCCUUCUGUCGGUAUCCACAGCUGAACAAGGGGCUGGAGCAUCUGGUCCAAAGCAGACACAGGCCUGGGAGGAUCACCCUGCACACCGCCUUCUCACUUCUCCCACUUCCAGAAUGCAGAGGAGCUUUAUUCUCCCUCCUUGCUCUUCAUGGGCCCUCCUCUGCCUUCUUCCUCCUCUUCCUCUCCUCCCUCCCACCCAAGGAUGCAUUGAGGGUAAUGUGAUUAUGAUCCUGAUAAUGAUGAUGACAUGUUGUUGGAUCUUGGCUCUCUGCACACAGGAGGGGGCACUGGGCUAAAGCAGCCCCAUGACUGUCCCGUGAUACCUGGGGUGAAGGUGGCUCUCCUAAGUAUUGAAACAGUGUCCUGACUUUCCUAGCAGCUGCUGCUGCCCUGACCUUGCCGGUGCAAACCUGGAUGCAGGUGGAGCUCUAUCCAGUGGGAGGAGAGCAGGCUGGUGGAGAUGCGUGUGUCCUGUACUGUCUCUGACAGCUAGCUGGGGGAGGUAGUGUGGAAGGGGCCCAUCCUCUUCCCCUCCUUCCUCCUCUCCAUCCCUCCCAACCUGGAGGACAGCGUGGAGUGUGAACACUGCUUUCAGCCUGCAGACUUGGUGUUAAUCCACCUGGGGCCUCAGGCUGAAAGGCGGCUUAGGAGGUUAUCUCAUCUCCCGCUAGCUUUACGCAGGCGGCCGUCAUGCCGUUCCACCCAUGCAGGUUUCCCUACCUCAUGGUUUGAUGAUUUUCCUGUGGGAUUUUCUGGAUCUUAUCUGUGCUAAGAGGGAGGCCAGAAGGGAGCUGUUUGACCGGCACAGGUUUGUGCUGGAAACCAUGUCUGCAUCGCCUGCAAUGUACGUCUCCUGCUGGGGGAGGACUGGAGGGGCCACACUCCCCAGCAGACAGGCUCCUGCGUGAGCUGGGUGUUCCCAGCGAGCCUCCCAGGACAGGCACAGUAAGGGGCAGAGGUGUGUGGGCCAGACCCUCAUCACUGCGUCCACAUGCACACACACACACUUGCACACACACACACACGUGAACACCACGCUGAAGCAUGUGGAGGGUACAGGAUGCCACCCAGUCUGGUUCCUGAAUAGGCAUUGCCAUCUCCCUCCUGACAGAGGACACUGAGAAACCAGCACGGAUGGCUCCAGCAGCCAACAGGGGGCACACAGAGACAACACAAGGCCAGCUAACCGCAGGUGCUGGAGGUGGCAGAUGGGGUUGGGCCCGGCUUGGAGGCCCAGCCACAUGGUGCCUGGUGCUAUCUUCUGGCAGCUGCCUGUGUGUGACACUUGGCCACACAUGGGACAUUUUUAACAGGGAGGCCGUCCUGCCUUCAGCUUCCUCUGAGGCUUCUGAGUCAGCACCUGGCUGUCAGCAGAGAGCAUGAAGGAAGGGCCACAGAGCUUCUGAGAAGUCAUUCCAAAAUGAUUGGUUUCCCUUUUAAUGACCUGCAGAUCCCAGUCUUGACUGUCUUGUGUUUUCCAUGUUCUGAGACAUGUUACCAUCUUGCAAGCUGAGCAUGUUGGAGGUGGGCUAGGUUCUACUUGAGGCUGCACCAGUGGCCUGUGUGAUCUUGGGUAAAGUUACCUCCCUCUCUGAGCCUCAAAUCCCCCUCUGCCAAUAGGAAAACAUCCGGUCUGUACACUGGUCUAGGGUCUUCCUUGGCAAGAUUCUUUAAAAACUAGAAUAACAAGAACCAACAGCACAGCACCCAGUCCUUCCAACACCCCAAUCCUUUGAGAGGCCAGGCAGGAUAAAGACCCCCGCUCCCCACCUGCAAGCCAGGGCUUUGCACACGCUAUUCCCUCACCCUGGCUCUUUCCCCUCUGUCAUUGCCUAUCGGGCUCCUUCAGGACUUAAUGAGAUAUCACUUCCUCCAGGAAGCCUUCCCUGACCUCCCGUGACUGGUUAGGGCCACUGAUGUUUGCUUCUUAAACCCAAGGACUCCUGCUAACACAGCACCUAGCACUGCACUGUGACUGCCAUACACUUACCUGUCCCCUUCCUUCAAGUAAAAUCUCCCUGGGAGAAGGGACGGCACUCUGCCUGCAAUGUGGCCCUGGCACUGGGCACAGCACCUGGCACACAGCAGCUCUGUUCCAAAGUAAACACAGCCUCCUCUGCCGGCCCCCUGGGCGGAGGCUCCCAGGACGCUGAUGUGAGGAGGGCUGCAGGAAAAGGGCUGGGCUACUGUGACAUUUUUAGUGAAAUGUUCCCCAGCCAGAAUAUUCUAGAAAUUAGCUUCUAAAGUUACCUCAAAGUGGAGUGCCUCCAGAUUCCACCCACAAGAGGGGAAGCUGGUGCAGAGGAAGCAGGCCUGUGAGCUGGAGGCCUGGCCAGCUCUGCCACAGCGGCUGUGUCACCUUCAGCAGGUGACUUUCUGGUGAGGCUUGAUGUCUUCAGAUGUGCAUGAAUAAGAUGAGCCCGGGGACUCUGAACCCCGAAUGUAUGUUUGACCCAGCUGGGAGGCUUAAAAAUACCCGUGCACAGACCUCAGCCCACUCCAGACAAUCCAAGCCAGUCUGUGGAGGGGGUGCCAGAGCAAUGUGUGUGUGGUUUUUUUUUUGUUUUGUUUUUUAGAUGGAGUCUUGCUUUGUCGCCCAGGGUUGAAGUGUAGUGGCACAAUCUUGGCUCACUGUAACCUCCACCUCCCGGGUUCAAGCAAUUCUCCUGCCUCAGCCUCCCGAGUAGCUGGGAUUACAGGCGCGUACCACCACGCCCAGCUAAUUUUUUGUAUUUUUAGUACAGACAGGGUUUCACCUUGUUAGCCAGGCUGGACUCAAUCUCCUGACCUUGUGAUCCCCCUGCCUCCGCCUCCCAAGUGCUGGGAUUACAGGCGUGAGCCACUGCACCUGGCCACAAUGGUAUUUAAACAACUCUACUCUAGCAUGCAGCCAGGGCCGGUGGCUCUGGUCCAGGUAGUCUGUAAGGCCUUUCCAGGUGGAAGAGUCUGAUCGGGUGGUACCUCAGCACUGUGAUGAUCCUGUCCAGGUCUGAAACUGCCUCUGGUGUGCUGUUCCAUGACUGAGGUGGGUGAGAAGCCUGGGGGGCCCCUGCUGAGGGGAUAGGUGCACUCCCGGAAUGCAGAACUUCAGCAUGGAGGGGCCUCUGCCGAUCAAGUGCAGGGGAUUCUCCCUUCAGCAUCCCUGCCGGCCCCCAGCCUCUGCCCCAGCCUGCAGCCGCAGGGAGUUUAGUACUCUGCAAGGGCCACUGUUUAGCAAUUCAAAUUGUUAAAAAGUUCUUGAAUGUGUCUCCUGAAAAUAAUUCCACCUACUGUUCCCCUUCUGUCCUCUGGAACCUCCCAGGAACAGUCCCUCCUUUCCCCACAUGACUGCCUUGGGCAUUUCAAGACCACGAGGGUGCUGCAUCUGCUCCCCAUCUCCUGACCUCUCUCACAUCUGACUUCUGGGCCCCACACUCCCCUUGCCACUCCCUCUGCAUCUGGCCGCAUAGUGGCAUCACUAGAGAGCUUCACGAAUACACUGAUGCCCAGGUGCCAGCCCCAGACCAUUUUGUUUCAUUUUGCUGCGGGGAGCCCAGGCCUGGGGUAUUUUUUUUUUCUUUGAGACGGAGUCUCACUCUGUCGCCCUGGAGUGCAGUGGCAUGAUCUAGGCUCACUGCAACCUCCGCCUCCUGGGUUCAAGCGUUUCUCCCGCCUUAGCCUUCUGAGUAGCUGGGAUUACAGGCGCGCGCCUCCAUGCCCAGCUAAUUUUUGUAUUUUUAGUAGAGACGGGGUUUCACCAUGUUGGCCAGAAUGGUCUUGAUCUCUUAAGUUCAUGAUCCACCUGACUCGGCCUCCCAAAGUGCUGGGAUUACAGGCCUGGGGUAGUUUUAAAGCUUGUCAGGUGAUCCCACUGUGCAGCCAAGGUUGAGGACCACUGCCCUGGGGCUCUGCGGAGGUCUGGUCCCACCUGGAGGGUGGCCUGAGCUGGCACCUCCCACACCCUGACUCUCUCCAUGAUUUCUACCAGUGCAGUUCCAGGCCACAUCUUUGUGGGCAGCACCCUAUCAUGUAACUCAGGCAGAUGCCCUCUCUCUGUUACAGGCUUAAGUGCAAAACAAAACAAAGCUCAAGUGCAAGGACUUUAACUCUAUUAAAGGUUUUACCCUUCGUUUCAGCACAUCUUCAUAUCCAACGAGCUCUUUUUUCAAUGCUGGCUUUAUCAUACAACAGACCAGAAAUGCUAGGUAAAUAGUUUAGCAUGCUUCCUGGGUCUUCGUUGAGAUCACCAAGAAAAAUGAAGAGACAGGUCUGAGGCUGAAGGCCACGGCCCGCUCCUGGAGACUUUUCGCUAAGCUGAUGUGAACUCUCAUCUCUCUCUCACAGCGUGGCCAUCCAGCCUGCCCUGAUUUCUCCUGAGCAUACAAGUGCCUGGUCCACACGUCCACAAGGUAACAAGGAAUGCAUUGCCAAAUACCUGGCUGAAAUCAAGGACACUGACAGAGGAUGCAGGAGGAGGAAACGUCACUUACCCUCUGGUAAUACACAUGGGCCAGGACUCCCGCCACCAGCUCAACCAGGAAGAUGACGAGCAACAGGCAGAAAUACUAGCAGCAAAGAGAGAGGACGGUCACCACUGGGAUCGGGUUGCUGCUAUGACAAAUGUUUCCCCACAGUGGUGGGGGUGGUAGAGAUACCUGCUGGGACCCCUAUCAUCCAUGCCAUCUUCCUCCUGGAUGUACCAGCCUCACUGGCUGCUGGCACCAAGUUCCCCACUUACUCCUUCCCUCUUUGGUCUGCUGACAAUUCAGUACGGCAUGUACCCAUCCAAUAUGUAUUAAAUACAUGCCAUAUGCCAGA